Molecule: antisense RNA, 159 nt
Filed under: Erwinia sp. Leaf53
Lineage: Bacteria; Pseudomonadati; Pseudomonadota; Gammaproteobacteria; Enterobacterales; Erwiniaceae
Description: sok antitoxin (CssrC)
Rfam family: sok antitoxin (CssrC)
About the family: Also identified in Shigella as CssrC.
Source: Rfam by way of RNAcentral
GGGUGCUCAGGAUCUUAUGUCCUGAGCCAUUCUGGUAAGGGACGUAAAGAGAAAAAGCCCCACAUGAUGUUCAUCACGUGAGGCUGCUCCUUACAUCUCGACAAUGUGAGGGUAGCCUUUUGCCAGCUGUAAAGCAAUGGAGAAAGGAGGCCAAAGAUG